RNAcentral lists this long non-coding RNA (1987 nucleotides) under Citrus sinensis (sweet orange). RNAcentral describes it as "long non-coding RNA (CSIN_LNC005192)". The record is from RNAcentral. Lineage: Eukaryota; Viridiplantae; Streptophyta; Magnoliopsida; Sapindales; Rutaceae.
UCAUUUUGCAAAGCUAAAUGCACCGGAGAGAAGCCAUCUUGGUUUAGCUUCCUGGCAAAUGAUGGCUUUAGUCUGAUAAUCUCCGUGGACCAUUCAACAUUUCCAUCCCUUGCAGCAGCAUGCAAAGGAGUAUCGACAAAAGGUUUCUCGUCGAAGUUGUCCAAAAAAUAUCGAUCAUGUCGAAUUAGCUCAUACAAAGCAUCGACAUCCCUCACUUGAGCAGCGGACUCCAUCACCGAAAUUAACACUACGAAGGUGGCACUUCAAUGAUCAAAUAUUCUUUGUACUACAGAGAGGAAACUGGAAAGUUUUAACAACUGAACAAGAAGAGCAAUUGAAGAAACCCAGCAAGAAAUCAUAUGCUCAGGAAGCAAUUUUUUUCAAAAGAUUCAAUAUAUGUAUAUAUAGCUUCAACGAAAAUUCUUUUUAGAAAGUGAGGACUAGGAACAAAAUCAAUUUUCUUCAUGUUUUGUGAUUGCCUCUAUGAGGUUUGCCUUAAAUAAGAGUGAGAUAUUUUUACCAAAAGGGGAAAGAAUAGAUAUACAUCAUAUUUUGGAGAAUUUGUGACGUAGAAAUCAUGACGUAGACUCCUCAUAAAGAAAAUUGAUUCGGAUGUAUGAACAUCAAUAUCUGUGCUCCUUCGUGUGUAUUAUGCUAUUUAUUAAUAAAAGGUACUUUAAGAAAUAAUAAAUUGAUGGAUAUCUUAAAGAGUAAUGAUAUAGCCACAAACUUUUGUACAAACUUAUUUUGUACAAAUUGAUGUGGCAUGAUAAAAUUGGUUGAAUUAAAUAUCUCUUGGCCCACAUGAUUUAUUUUUAUUAUUUUAUAUUUUUAUUCAACCAAUGAGUUAAUGCCACAUUAGUUUGUACAAAAUAAAUUUGUACAAGAGUUUGUGGUUGUAUCAUCACUCUAUUUUAAAAUACAUUUCACGUACUAUUAUUUGAAUACUUGUAAAAAAACUGAGAUGGGAUAAAAAAAGGAAAAGGAUAACGACAUUCCAAGAUUUGGGAAAAUAAUUACAAAAAACUCUUUAAGUCUUAAAAAAAAGAUACAAAAACUUUUUUUGCCCACAAUACCUUUUGAUUAUAUUAAUUAAAAAAUUAAUUUUAAAACUGCUGUACGGCCAAGGCGGAUGUACGGUACAGCAGAAGGAGUAUCCUGUUGCCAUCCCUAUCUUUCAAGUUGAGGAUUCUUUGAUUGUAUUGUUGAGCUUCUUCAGGGCCAAGCCACGGUGGUCGUACUGUUGUUAAGGCUUGAUGAAAAGAUUCGACCUUAUCGUUUUUCAAAGCAAUAUGAAGAGCCGUCUCGCCUUUAUUGGUCACAUCUUCAAGAGAUUUCGGACAAGCAGACAAAAAUUCCCUCAACAGAUGGAUGUCUCCUUUUUCAGACACGAAAUGCAAAGGAGUGAUGCCUUCUCUUCCUUGGACACGAACAAGGUCCGGAUCAAUAUCUAUCAGCUGAAGCACUAACUGAGUUUGAUCAUUUUGCAAAGCUAAAUGCACCGGAGAGAAGCCAUCUUGGUUUAGCUUCCUGGCAAAUGAUGGCUUUAGUCUGAUAAUCUCCAUGGACCAUUCAACAUUUCCAUCCCUUGCAGCAGCAUGCAAAGGAGUAUCGACAAAAGGUUUCUCGUCGAAGUUGUCCAAAAAAUAUCGAUCAUGUCGAAUUAGCUCAUACAAAGCAUCGACAUCCCUCACUUGAGCAGCGGACUCCAUCACCGAAAUUAACACUACGAAGGUGGCACUUCAAUGAUCAAAUAUUCUUUGUACUACAGAGAGGAAACUGGAAAGUUUUAACAACUGAACAAGAAGAGCAAUUGAAGAAACCCAGCAAGAAAUCAUAUGCUCAGGAAGCAAUUUUUUUCAAAAGAUUCAAUAUAUGUAUAUAUAGCUUCAACGAAAAUUCUUUUUAGAAAGUGAGGACUAGGAACAAAAUCAAUUUUCUUCAUGUUUUGUGAUUGCCUCUAUGAGGUUUGCCUUAAAUAAGAGUG